RNAcentral lists this transfer RNA (76 nucleotides) under Parioglossus dotui. RNAcentral describes it as "tRNA-Lys". It matches the Rfam family "tRNA". From Rfam's summary of the family: Transfer RNA (tRNA) molecules are approximately 80 nucleotides in length. Their secondary structure includes four short double-helical elements and three loops (D, anti-codon, and T loops). Lineage: Eukaryota; Metazoa; Chordata; Actinopteri; Gobiiformes; Gobiidae. The record is from RNAcentral.
CGCUGAGAAGCUAAACUGGGCCCAUAGCGUUAGCCUUUUAAGCUAAAGAUUGGUGACUCCCAACCACCCUCAACGA